UGAACGCUGGCGGCAGGCCUAACACAUGCAAGUCGAACGAGGUAGCAAUACCUAGUGGCGGACGGGUGAGUAACGCGUGGGAACGUGCCCCUUGGUACGGAAUAGCCCCGGGAAACUGGGAGUAAUACCGUAUGAGCUCGAAAGAGGAAAGAUUUAUCGCCAAGGGAUCGGCCCGCGUUGGAUUAGGUAGUUGGUGGGGUAAUGGCCUACCAAGCCGACGAUCCAUAGCUGGUUUGAGAGGAUGAUCAGCCACACUGGGACUGAGACACGGCCCAGACUCCUACGGGAGGCAGCAGUGGGGAAUCUUAGACAAUGGGGGAAACCCUGAUCUAGCCAUGCCGCGUGAUCGAUGAAGGCCUUAGGGUUGUAAACCGCUUUCAGCAGGGAAGAAGCGAAAGUGACGGUACCUGCAGAAGAAGCACCGGCUAACUAUGUGCCAGCAG
This 443-nucleotide ribosomal RNA is filed under the name uncultured bacterium. RNAcentral describes it as "bacterial SSU rRNA". It matches the Rfam family "Bacterial small subunit ribosomal RNA", at positions 30 to 514 of the family's 1533-position model. The record is from RNAcentral.